AACGAACGCUGGCGGCAUGCCUAACACAUGCAAGUCGAACGAGAGCUCCGUGUCUGCUUGCGCUCACGUGCGGCGAGUGGCGGAAGCUUCCCUUAUGCUCCGGAUUCCUCUCUUUCGGGGGUGCUAACAUCGGGUAACUUCCUCUGAUCCCAGAUUCGACGUGCUGGGAUGGGCCCGCGUUGGAUUAGCUAGUUGGUAGGGUAAAAGCCUACCACGGCGACGAUCCAUAGCUGGUCUGAGAGGAAGAUCAGCCACACUGGGACUGAGACACGGCCCAGACUCCUACGGGAGGCAGCAGUGGGGAAUAUUGGACAAUGGGCGAAAGCCUGAUCCAGCAAUGCCGCGUGAGUGAUGAAGGCCUUAGGGUUGUAAAGCUCUUUUACCCGGGAUGAUAAUGACAGUACCGGGAGAAUAAGCUCCGGCUAACUCCGUG
Molecule: ribosomal RNA, 433 nt
Filed under: uncultured bacterium
Lineage: Bacteria
Description: partial 16S ribosomal RNA
Rfam family: Bacterial small subunit ribosomal RNA
Source: RNAcentral